GGAUGCCACCUUUGUAAGUCGCUCUGGAUAAGAGCGUCUGCUAAAUGACUUAAA
Molecule: non-coding RNA, 54 nt
Organism: Salmo salar (Atlantic salmon)
Lineage: Eukaryota; Metazoa; Chordata; Actinopteri; Salmoniformes; Salmonidae
Source: Rfam